Molecule: unclassified non-coding RNA, 352 nt
Filed under: soil metagenome
Description: partial contains 5.8S ribosomal RNA, internal transcribed spacer 2, and large subunit ribosomal RNA
Rfam family: 5.8S ribosomal RNA (bases 1-120)
Source: RNAcentral
GAUGAAGAACGCAGCGAAAUGCGAUAAGUAAUGUGAAUUGCAGAAUUCAGUGAAUCAUCGAAUCUUUGAACGCACAUUGCGCCCGCCAGUAUUCUGGCGGGCAUGCCUGUUCGAGAGUCAUUACAACCCUCAGGCCCCCGGGCCUGGCGUUGGGGAUCGGCGGAGCCCCCCGUGGGCACACGCCGUCCCCCAAAUGCAGUGGCGGUCCCGCCGCAGCUUCCAUCGCGUAGUAGCUAACACCUCGCGACUGGAGAGCGGCGCGGCCACGCCGUAAAACACCCAACUCUUCUGAAGUUGACCUCGAAUCAGGUAGGAAUACCCGCUGAACUUAAGCAUAUCAAUAAGCGGAGGA